Molecule: ribosomal RNA, 549 nt
Filed under: uncultured bacterium
Lineage: Bacteria
Description: bacterial SSU rRNA
Rfam family: Bacterial small subunit ribosomal RNA
Source: RNAcentral
AGUGAAUAGAUACCCUGGUAGUCCUAGCCGUAAACGAUGGAUACUAGGUGUUAGAGGUAUCGACCCCUCUAGUGCCGGAGCUAAACGCAUUAAGUAUCCCGCCUGGGGAGUACGACCGCAAGGUUGAAACUCAAAGGAAUUGACGGGGGCCCGCACAAGCGGUGGAGCAUGUGGUUUAAAUACGUCACUAACCGUAGAACCUUACCCAGGCUUGACAUCUAGGGAACUCUGGUGAAAGCCGGAGGUGCCUUCGGGAGCCCCAAGACAGGUGUUGCAUGGCUGUCGUCAGCUCGUGUCGUGAGAUGUUGGGUUAAGUCCCGCAACGAGCGCAACCCCAUCCGAUGUUGCCAGCGUAAAGUCGGGAACUCUUCGGAAACUGCCCGUGUAAGCGGGAGGAAGGUGGGGAUGACGUCAAGUCAGCAUGGCCCUUACGCCUGGGGGCUACACACAUGCUACAAUGGACGCUAACAAAGGGCAGCAAUACCGCGAGGUGGAGCGAAUCUCAAAAACUGCGUCCUCAGUUCGGAUUGUAGUCUGCAACUCGACUAC